CAGCUCUGCCCUUAAGGAGCCGCGAGACCAGGAGGGAAGGGAGUGGAGGCCACCGAUUUCUGACUCCACAACUGCUACAAGGGAGAGAGUGGGCUCAGAGACAGAAAACACCUUCCCUCACAGCAGCCAGCAGCCUUCUCUGCAACCUGGUCCACAUCUAACACGAGCCUGGAGGGAGUCGUCCCCCCGACGGCAAUGGGCAUCAGCUGAACAGUGGU
Long non-coding RNA from Orcinus orca (killer whale), 218 nucleotides. RefSeq lists it as uncharacterized. The record is from RefSeq and is a predicted model, not a curated record. Lineage: Eukaryota; Metazoa; Chordata; Mammalia; Artiodactyla; Delphinidae. The transcript has 3 exons.